Molecule: ribosomal RNA, 424 nt
Filed under: uncultured bacterium
Lineage: Bacteria
Description: bacterial SSU rRNA
Rfam family: Bacterial small subunit ribosomal RNA
Source: RNAcentral
AGGGAAUCUUCCGCAAUGGACGAAAGUCUGACGGAGCAACGCCGCGUGAGUGAUGAAGGUUUUCGGAUCGUAAAGCUCUGUUGCCAGGGAAGAACGUCUUCUAGAGUAACUGCCAGGAGAGUGACGGUACCUGAGAAGAAAGCCCCGGCUAACUACGUGCCAGCAGCCGCGGUAAUACGUAGGGGGCAAGCGUUGUCCGGAAUUAUUGGGCGUAAAGCGCGCGCAGGCGGCUGUUUAAGUCUGGUGUUUAAUCCUGGGGCUCAACCCCGGGUCGCACUGGAAACUGGACGGCUUGAGUGCAGAAGAGGAGAGUGGAAUUCCACGUGUAGCGGUGAAAUGCGUAGAGAUGUGGAGGAACACCAGUGGCGAAGGCGACUCUCUGGGCUGUAACUGACGCUGAGGCGCGAAAGCGUGGGUGGCAAAC